AUCGAACGCUGGCGGCAGGCCUAACACAUGCAAGUCGAACGAAUGGCGGACGGGUGAGUAAUGUCUGGAAAACUGCCUGAUGGAGCGGGAUAACUACUGGAAACGGUAUCUGAUACCGGAUACCAUCGGCUGUGUACAGGUGGGAUUAGCUAGUGGGCAGGGUAAAGGCUCACCUAGGCGACGAUCCCUAGCUGGUAUGAGAGGAUGACCGGCCACACUGGAACUGAGACACGGUCCAGACUCCUACGGGAGGCAGCAGUGGGGAAUAUUGCACAAUGGGCGCAAGCCUGAUACAGCCAUGCCGCGUGUAUGAAGAAGGCCUUCGGGUUGUAAAGUACUUUCAGCGGGGAGGCGUUACCCGCAGAAGAAGCACCGGCUAACUCCGUGCCAGCAGCCGCGGUAAUAC
This 406-nucleotide ribosomal RNA is filed under the name uncultured bacterium. RNAcentral's name for it is "partial 16S ribosomal RNA". It matches the Rfam family "Bacterial small subunit ribosomal RNA", at positions 30 to 526 of the family's 1533-position model. The record is from RNAcentral.